This 429-nucleotide ribosomal RNA is filed under the name Chloroflexota bacterium. RNAcentral's name for it is "Chloroflexi bacterium partial 16S ribosomal RNA". It matches the Rfam family "Bacterial small subunit ribosomal RNA", at positions 355 to 776 of the family's 1533-position model. Lineage: Bacteria; Bacillati; Chloroflexota. The record is from RNAcentral.
UGGGGAAUAUUGCACAAUGGGCGCAAGCCUGAUGCAGCCAUGCCGCGUGUAUGAAGAAGGCCUUCGGGUUGUAAAGUACUUUCAGCGGGGAGGAAGUGAGUAAAGUUAAUACCUUUGCUCAUUGACGUUACCCGCAGAAGAAGCACCGGCUAACUCCGUGCCAGCAGCCGCGGUAAUACGGAGGGUGCAAGCGUUAAUCGGAAUUACUGGGCGUAAAGCGCACGCAGGCGGUUUGUUAAGUCAGAUGUGAAAUCCUCGGGCUCAACCUGGGAACUGCAUCUGAUACUGGCAAGCUGGAGUCUCGUAGAGGGGGGUAGAAUUCCAGGUGUAGCGGUGAAAUGCGUAGAGAUCUGGAGGAAUACCGGUGGCGAAGGCGGCCCCCUGGACGAAGACUGACGCUCAUGUGCGAAAGCGUGGGGAGCAAACAGG